GACGAACGCUGGCGGCGUGCUUAACACAUGCAAGUCGAACGGAAAGGCCCUGCUUUUGUGGGGUGCUCGAGUGGCGAACGGGUGAGUAACACGUGAGUAACCUGCCCUUGACUUUGGGAUAACUUCAGGAAACUGGGGCUAAUACCGGAUAGGAGCUCCUGCUGCAUGGUGGGGGUUGGAAAGUUUCGGCGGUUGGGGAUGGACUCGCGGCUUAUCAGCUUGUUGGUGGGGUAGUGGCUUACCAAGGCUUUGACGGGUAGCCGGCCUGAGAGGGUGACCGGCCACCUUGGGACUGCGAUACGGACCAGACUCCUACGGGAGGCAGCAGUGGGGAAUAUUGCACAAUGGGCGGAAGCCUGAUGCAGCAACGCCGCGUGCGGGAUGACGGCCUUCGGGUUGUAAACCGCUUUCGCCUGUGACGAAGCGUGAGUGACGGUAAUGGGUAAAGAAGCACCGGCUAACUACGUG
Molecule: ribosomal RNA, 468 nt
Filed under: uncultured bacterium
Lineage: Bacteria
Description: partial 16S ribosomal RNA
Rfam family: Bacterial small subunit ribosomal RNA
Source: RNAcentral